This 82-nucleotide transfer RNA is filed under the name Schistocerca americana (American grasshopper). RNAcentral's name for it is "tRNA-Ser". It matches the Rfam family "tRNA". From Rfam's summary of the family: Transfer RNA (tRNA) molecules are approximately 80 nucleotides in length. Their secondary structure includes four short double-helical elements and three loops (D, anti-codon, and T loops). The record is from RNAcentral. RNAcentral also lists the same sequence under 2 other names. Lineage: Eukaryota; Metazoa; Arthropoda; Insecta; Orthoptera; Acrididae.
GCUGCGGUGUCCGAGUGGUUAAGGAGUUGGACUUGAAAUCCAAUGGGCUCUGCCCGCACAGGUUCGAAUCCUGUCCGCAGCG